This 107-nucleotide ribosomal RNA is filed under the name uncultured bacterium. RNAcentral's name for it is "partial 16S ribosomal RNA". It matches the Rfam family "Bacterial small subunit ribosomal RNA", at positions 1367 to 1482 of the family's 1533-position model. The record is from RNAcentral.
UACGUUCCCGGGUCUUGUACACACCGCCCGUCAAGCCAUGGAAGUUGGGAGGACCUGAAGACAGUUGCUGUAAGGCGCUGUUUAGGGUUAAACCGAUGACUGGGGCU